UUAGAGGUUAAACCCGAUGAACCUAAAUUAUAUAUCCAGUAUGAGAAAAAGUACGUGAACUGCAGUCAUUUUAAAAUUAUUUUAUAAUGUAUUAAUAGUGUGCAUUUUUUUCAUGUUAAUAAAAAGGACAUUGAGUAUGUAAUCUAAAGCAUAUAUUCUUUUAUAUAUUAUUUUUAUCAUAAAGAGUCAUGUAUAAGUUUACAUAUAAAUUACAAUUUAAUUAAUAUUAAUUGAUGUAAGAUCGAUGAAUUUCUAGAUAAAUAGUUAACAGUAUUAAAAUUAAUUUAUUAUAUAUUGGCAUACAUAAUUUUUUAUGUUUUAUAAUGCUAUAUUUAUAAAUAUGUACAUGUACAUAUAUAUGUUUUUGCAUUUUACUUAUAGAGUUAUUAACAAUGCAAUUUGC
This 403-nucleotide ribosomal RNA is filed under the name Eucoptacra praemorsa. Its description in RNAcentral is "partial 28S ribosomal RNA". Lineage: Eukaryota; Metazoa; Arthropoda; Insecta; Orthoptera; Acrididae. The record is from RNAcentral.